RNAcentral lists this ribosomal RNA (444 nucleotides) under uncultured bacterium. RNAcentral's name for it is "bacterial SSU rRNA". It matches the Rfam family "Bacterial small subunit ribosomal RNA", at positions 28 to 486 of the family's 1533-position model. The record is from RNAcentral.
GACGAACGCUGGCGGCGGGCUUAACACAUGCAAGUCGAACGAGAAAGGGUCCUUCGGGACCUGAGUAAAGUGGCGCACGGGUGAGUAACGCGUAGACAACCUACCCUCAGGUGAGGAAUAACUACGGGAAACCGUAGCUAAUACCACAUAAUGUCAGAUGGCCGCAUGGCCGACUGAUCAAAGCUUUAUGUGCCGGAGGAUGGGUCUGCGUUGGAUUAGCUAGUUGGUAGGGUAAUGGCCUACCAAGGCAACGAUCCAUAGCGGGUCUGAGAGGAUGAUCCGCCACACUGGCACUGAGACACGGGCCAGACUCCUACGGGAGGCAGCAGUGAGGAAUCUUAGACAAUGGGGGCAACCCUGAUCUAGCCAUGCCGCGUGAGUGACGAAGGCCCUAGGGUCGUAAAGCUCUUUUCGCCAGGGAUGAUAAUGACAGUACCUGGUAAA